GAUGAACGCUGGCGGCGUGCCUAAUACAUGCAAGUCGAGCGAACAGACGAGGAGCUUGCUCCUCUGACGUUAGCGGCGGACGGGUGAGUAACAUGUGGAUAACCUACCUAUAAGACUGGGAUAACUUCGGGAAACCGGAGCUAAUACCGGAUAAUAUAUUGAACCGCAUGGUGCAAUAGUGAAAGACGGUUUGGCUGGCACUUAUAGAUGGAUCCGCGCCGCAUUAGCUAGUUGGUAAGGUAACGGCUUACCAAGGCAACGAUGCGUAGCCGACCUGAGAGGGUGAUCGGCCACACUGGAACGGGGACACGGUCCAGAGUCCUACGGGAGGCAGCAGUAGGGAAUCUUCCGCAAUGGGCGAAAGCCUGACGGAACAACGCCGCGUGAGUGAUGAAGGUCUUCGGAUCGUAAAACUCUGUUAUUAGGGAAGAACAAAUGUGUAAGUAACUAUGCACGUCUUGACGGUACCUAAUCAGAAAGCCACGGCUAACUACGUG
Molecule: ribosomal RNA, 497 nt
Filed under: uncultured bacterium
Lineage: Bacteria
Description: partial 16S ribosomal RNA
Rfam family: Bacterial small subunit ribosomal RNA
Source: RNAcentral